UCCACACUACAAUCCAAAAGGGGGCGCGCACAGUGAUGCUUUUUAGCCUAACCUCUUUUAACCAGCAUUAACCACCAAUAAUCGCAAUAAGUUCAGUGUUUUGUUACUUUCGAUUAGAAACAAAGUGCCAUCUUUCAAAUUCUGUCCAUUUUAUCACGAAAUUCAAAAAAUAAAUGCCGUUUUGACGCUUUUUAAUGUCGUGACAGAUGGCCGUAUAGGCGCCUCAGUUCAAACGGCAGCGCGUAGCGCGAGUGAACGCGAUCAUCUCUUCCUCUUUAAAUACUACAGAAUGAACAUGAUGAAGAACAGAAGUCAACACUCCAAGAUUCAGAGCGGGACACUUCUGUCUGUCUCUUAUCAUAAUCCAGAUUGGCUACAUGCAUCGUCUGGUCUGCUUCUGAAAUCUGUCCCUGCAUCUGGGACCGCACUGCCAGCCUGUGUCACUGCUCAAACUGGAUUAAAUCAUACAGUGCUGGCAGAACAACAGUGCAACACCUAAAGAGUGUUGAAGUCCUUGAAAUUCGUCACGGCUGUCAGGGGCCCUAGCUCAAGAAAUCUGUGCCAAUCAUGAAGGCUGUGAGGGUUUUGGCAGAAUGAAGAGAUGAUAGAAUGCAGUGCUGCUAGUGGGGAUUCGGAAGAUGGAAACAAAAGUUUCAUUGGUGCACGCCUCUGCAUUUGAGCACCGUGUGGACAGUAUAACAUCUGACAGGACAGGAAAGUCAAUUUUUCUGAGAGCGGCUCCUGAGGCUGCAGCACAUCUGUGAGUUUGAAGAAAUGUGCUCCACCCUGCAGCAAAACCAUAAAAGUUGAUAAUACAAGGCUGGUAAUAAAAAUGAAGCCAAAAUAUCCCAGAAAUGGCAGCUGACAUCUUGUGGCGAUGACGUAAAUUGAUCGUGAGGUGGAGCCGUGGUAUCAAGAUCACGCCCAUUAUCCCGCAGACUCAACCGCAAGCACAGCUGUCUAUCAUGGCGGUACACACAAUUUUUAUAUCUUCAAAUAAUUAACUAAAACCAAGCUUAUUAGAAAAAAGAACACUUGAACAUACAUCAGCAAAACUACCUAAAGUGACAGAAAAAAAUUUAUUCGGCUCGCGUCCCAUUCCAUUAAAUAGAGAGGGUGGGUUUACGUCCUAUACUGCAGCCAGCCACCAGGAGGCGAUCAAAAUGUUUUGGCCUCAGUUUUCAGGAUGUGUGCGGCACUCUUGAAAUGAGUGAGAACCAGUGAGAUCCACAUAGCAACUCCAUAUCAACCAUCCAGACCACCCUAGCAACCAUAUAACAACGCCCUGGCAACCAUCCACAACAUUCUAGCAUCACUGCAGCAAGUUUUGCAUGGAGCAAACCCCCUCUGGAGUGCAAGAAAGCCUCGGACAGCAGAAGUCCAGCCUCCUGUGCCCCCGAUGUUGCACUCACUCCUAUCCAGCCUUUCAAAGGCAAGACCUUUUGGGGCUUUCAGUGACUCAGAGUGCCCUGAGUCCUGGUGAGGCCACGGAGACCCGCUGAUCUUUCUUUGGAAGAGUGAUAUUGUUGGAAUUUGAGAACAUGGAGUCACACAGCAAUGAUGGCUUUUACUGGCUGGGAGCGCUGAGCACACGUUUGGCCUUAUCGAAUGAAACAGCGCUGGAAUAUUUCACGUUGACUCCUGACUUAAAGCUUUAAAAGUGAGGAACAGCUUGCUUCGCUCCAAGGGAAGUUUUUCUUUCGCACAAAGCUGCAUUUACUCCAACUGAAGGAGUAGACCAUGACAUAUGCUGAGCCGGAGUUCAGAGAUGCCACAUUCACAGUAAACGUCAAGCCAUCUUGUAUUGUUUCUUCACUGUGAACUGGGUUCUUUUGCCUCAAACAAACAAAGAAGCAAGUUCACCGACAGAGGUGACAAACAAGUCAAGCGCUAAUGACAUUGAACAUGUCCCAUCCCAGACAUCCCUGUGGGCCGCCUCCCUCUUGGAAAAUACCAGGGUACAUCUGGCAAAUUGUAAAGCUUGCUUUUGACCUGUCUCUCACCUGCUGUUUCAUAAGCCCUUCAUGAACUUCAUGUACAGAAACAUUCCAGUGUUCCAGUCAUUCCUGCUGGGUAAGAUUUUUAUAGUUUUAUUACUUAAAACAUGAAUCAGAUUAAAAUUGUUCAAAGAGUAGGAAAUAAUUAAAAAGUACGCAUUUUUGCACUUUCCAUACAUACACUCUUAGAAAAAAGGUACAAAAGCUGUUUCUAGGGCUGUACCCUUUCAAAAGUUACACCUUUGUACCCCUUAAGGUUGCAUAUUAGUACAUAUUAGUACCUAAAGUGUACAUGUUUGCACCUUUUGAACGGGUACCACCCCAGUGACAGCUUUUUUCUGAGAGUGUAGGGUACGACAAGGUCCGUUAUAUGCAGCAGUUCUUUCUGGUUCUCGAAUAUGAUUGGCUGAUAACCGUGUGAUAUUCUAGUGAUAACAGCACUCUUACCUUUUCACCAUUUGUAUCACUCCACUUGAAGCGACUGUCAAUGGUGGCCGAGCAAAUCCACCGUAAUUUUUGCUUGUUGUAACCAUGAACUGUCGUUUUAAGAGUUUUUUAGGCAAGAAUGUAGUUGUUUAGACCUGAAAUAUGUGACUCAUAUUUAAUCAUAGUGCCUAUUUUACAAUUUGUUUAGACGUUUUUGUAGAUUCAGUGCUCGUGUACCCGCUGAGAACAGCUUCAUCUCAGCCAGUGCUGUCUCUUAUAGUGGAUAAACGUGAUAUAAUUCUUUUUGGGUACAUAAAGUGGGCAAUCUUUGGUCUUAUUAAUCUAAUUACUUGUUCCUGAGCAAAUCUAAUUGGGCUAUGUUAAAUUUAAUAAUUUAAUAUUAAGGCUAUAUAUAACUUACAUCCUGUAGAGCACUGCUUUUGUACUUUUGACUGAAUUGUACAAUUGUGUUUAGUUCCUAUUGUCAUUUAUAAUGGCUAUUGUUGUUAGUUUAAACAUUGUUGUUUAAUAAAUAUUAUGGUAUAUAUUUGGUAUUGAGAAAGGGUCCAUUAGUGCAUAAUUUUGAUUUAGUAAAACUUACAUUAAUACGCCAUUAGAUGUCGGCAAACUUUACAAGUGAAUGAGUCAGUCGCAAGAGACUUUUAAAUUGAAAGGGACUUUUGUAAACAAAGGACGUUGUUUUAGCGCUGUUAUGGAAAAUUCCCUUAACUGUAAAAAAGGACAAAUACAAAGAUCGCUU
Molecule: long non-coding RNA, 3183 nt
Organism: Megalobrama amblycephala (Wuchang bream)
Lineage: Eukaryota; Metazoa; Chordata; Actinopteri; Cypriniformes; Xenocyprididae
Exons: 12
Source: RefSeq, a predicted model, not a curated record